UAACCUACUAAAUAGCGCGACUAGCUUUUGCUGGUGCUGACGCUUCUUAGAGGGACUAUCGAUUUCAAGUCGAUGGAAGUUUGAGGCAAUAACAGGUCUGUGAUGCCCUUAGACGUUCUGGGCCGCACGCGCGCUACACUGACGGAGCCAGCGAGUCUAGCCUUGGCCGAGAGGUCAUGGGUAAUCUUGUGAAACUCCGUCGUGCUGGGGAUAGAGCAUUGCAAUUAUUGCUCUUCAACGAGGAAUUCCUAGUAAGCGCAAGUCAUCAGCUUGCGUUGAUUACGUCCCUGCCCUUUGUACACACCGCCCGUCGCU
RNAcentral lists this ribosomal RNA (315 nucleotides) under uncultured fungus. RNAcentral describes it as "SSU rRNA". It matches the Rfam family "Eukaryotic small subunit ribosomal RNA", at positions 1344 to 1680 of the family's 1831-position model. The record is from RNAcentral. Lineage: Eukaryota; Fungi.